This 828-nucleotide ribosomal RNA is filed under the name Escherichia coli. RNAcentral's name for it is "partial 23S ribosomal RNA". It matches the Rfam family "Bacterial large subunit ribosomal RNA", at positions 919 to 1746 of the family's 2925-position model. Lineage: Bacteria; Pseudomonadati; Pseudomonadota; Gammaproteobacteria; Enterobacterales; Enterobacteriaceae. The record is from RNAcentral.
CAAGGGGGUCAUCCCGACUUACCAACCCGAUGCAAACUGCGAAUACCGGAGAAUGUUAUCACGGGAGACACACGGCGGGUGCUAACGUCCGUCGUGAAGAGGGAAACAACCCAGACCGCCAGCUAAGGUCCCAAAGUCAUGGUUAAGUGGGAAACGAUGUGGGAAGGCCCAGACAGCCAGGAUGUUGGCUUAGAAGCAGCCAUCAUUUAAAGAAAGCGUAAUAGCUCACUGGUCGAGUCGGCCUGCGCGGAAGAUGUAACGGGGCUAAACCAUGCACCGAAGCUGCGGCAGCGACGCUGAUGCGUUGUUGGGUAGGGGAGCGUUCUGUAAGCCUGCGAAGGUGUGCUGUGAGGCAUGCUGGAGGUAUCAGAAGUGCGAAUGCUGACAUAAGUAACGAUAAAGCGGGUGAAAAGCCCGCUCGCCGGAAGACCAAGGGUUCCUGUCCAACGUUAAUCGGGGCAGGGUGAGUCGACCCCUAAGGCGAGGCCGAAAGGCGUAGUCGAUGGGAAACAGGUUAAUAUUCCUGUACUUGGUGUUACUGCGAAGGGGGGACGGAGAAGGCUAUGUUGGCCGGGCGACGGUUGUCCCGGUUUAAGCGUGUAGGCUGGUUUUCCAGGCAAAUCCGGAAAAUCAAGGCUGAGGCGUGAUGACGAGGCACUACGGUGCUGAAGCAACAAAUGCCCUGCUUCCAGGAAAAGCCUCUAAGCAUCAGGUAACAUCAAAUCGUACCCCAAACCGACACAGGUGGUCAGGUAGAGAAUACCAAGGCGCUUGAGAGAACUCGGGUGAAGGAACUAGGCAAAAUGGUGCCGUAACUUCGGGAGAAGG